RNAcentral lists this ribosomal RNA (465 nucleotides) under Vreelandella stevensii. Its description in RNAcentral is "partial 16S ribosomal RNA". It matches the Rfam family "Bacterial small subunit ribosomal RNA", at positions 338 to 795 of the family's 1533-position model. Lineage: Bacteria; Pseudomonadati; Pseudomonadota; Gammaproteobacteria; Oceanospirillales; Halomonadaceae. The record is from RNAcentral.
CCUACGGGAGGCUGCAGUGGGGAAUAUUGGACAAUGGGCGAAGGCCUGAUCCAGCCAUGCCGCAUGUGUGAAGAAGGCCUUCGGGUUGUAAAGCACUUUCAGUGGGGAAGAAAGCCUUGGGGCUAAUACCCUCGAGGAAGGACAUCACCCACAGAAGAAGCACCGGCUAACUCCGUGCCAGCAGCCGCGGUAAUACGGAGGGUGCGAGCGUUAAUCGGAAUUACUGGGCGUAAAGCGCGCGUAGGCGGUCUGAUAAGCCGGUUGUGAAAGCCCCGGGCUCAACCUGGGAACGGCAUCCGGAACUGUCAGGCUAGAGUGCAGGAGAGGAAGGUAGAAUUCCCGGUGUAGCGGUGAAAUGCGUAGAGAUCGGGAGGAAUACCAGUGGCGAAGGCGGCCUUCUGGACUGACACUGACGCUGAGGUGCGAAAGCGUGGGUAGCAAACAGGAUUAGAUACCCCAGUAGUC